UUGGGCACUCUAGAGGGACUGCCGGCGACAAGUCGGAGAAGUGGGGAUGACGUCAAAUCAUCAUUGCCCCUUAUGACCUGGGCUACACACGUGCUACAAUGGGCGGUACAAAGGGCUGCGAACCCGCGAGGGGGAGCGAAUCCCAAAAAGCCGCUCUCAGUUCGGAUUGCAGGCUGCAACUCGCCUGCAUGAAGCCGGAAUCGCUAGUAAUCGCGGAUCAGCAUGCCGCGGUGAAUACCGGUUCCCGGGCCUU
This 253-nucleotide ribosomal RNA is filed under the name uncultured Geobacillus sp. Its description in RNAcentral is "partial 16S ribosomal RNA". It matches the Rfam family "Bacterial small subunit ribosomal RNA", at positions 1131 to 1382 of the family's 1533-position model. Lineage: Bacteria; Bacillati; Bacillota; Bacilli; Caryophanales; Anoxybacillaceae. The record is from RNAcentral.